AUUGAACGCUGGCGGCAGGCCUAACACAUGCAAGUCGAACGGUAGCAGGAAGAAGCUUGCUUCUUCGCUGACGAGUGGCGGACGGGUGAGUAAUGUCUGGGAAACUGCCUGAUGGAGGGGGAUAACUACUGGAAACGGUAGCUAAUACCGCAUAACGUCGCAAGACCAAAGAGGGGGACCUUCGGGCCUCUUGCCAUCGGAUGUGCCCAGAUGGGAUUAGCUUGUUGGUGGGGUAACGGCUCACCAAGGCGACGAUCCCUAGCUGGUCUGAGAGGAUGACCAGCCACACUGGAACUGAGGCACGGUCCAGACUCCUACGGGAGGCAGCAGUGGGGAAUAUUGCACAAUGGGCGCAAGCCUGAUGCAGCCAUGCCGCGUGUAUGAAGAAGGCCUUCGGGUUGUAAAGUACUUUCAGCGGGGAGGAAGGGAGUAAAGUUAAUACCUUUGCUCAUUGACGUUACCCGCAGAAGAAGCACCGGCUAACUCCGUG
RNAcentral lists this ribosomal RNA (490 nucleotides) under uncultured bacterium. Its description in RNAcentral is "partial 16S ribosomal RNA". It matches the Rfam family "Bacterial small subunit ribosomal RNA", at positions 30 to 507 of the family's 1533-position model. The record is from RNAcentral.